Molecule: ribosomal RNA, 236 nt
Filed under: uncultured Candidatus Saccharibacteria bacterium
Lineage: Bacteria; Candidatus Saccharimonadota
Description: partial 16S ribosomal RNA
Rfam family: Bacterial small subunit ribosomal RNA
Source: RNAcentral
UAAGCGGAACGUGAAAUCCAAGGGCUCAACCCUUGAACUGCAUUUCGAACUAUUAGACUUGAGUAUGUGAGAGGAAAUUGGAAUUCCUAGUGUAGGAGUGAAAUCCGUAGAUAUUAGGAGGAACACCAAUGGCGAAGGCAGAUUUCUGGCAUAUUACUGACGCUGAGGCACGAAAGCGUGGGGAGCGAACGGGAUUAGAUACCCCCGGUAGUCCACGCCGUAAACGAUGGAUACUA